RNAcentral lists this ribosomal RNA (550 nucleotides) under uncultured bacterium. RNAcentral's name for it is "bacterial SSU rRNA". It matches the Rfam family "Bacterial small subunit ribosomal RNA", at positions 355 to 896 of the family's 1533-position model. The record is from RNAcentral.
UAGGGAAUCUUCGGCAAUGGACGGAAGUCUGACCGAGCAACGCCGCGUGAGUGAAGAAGGUUUUCGGAUCGUAAAGCUCUGUUGUAAGAGAAGAACGAGUGUGAGAGUGGAAAGUUCACACUGUGACGGUAACUUACCAGAAAGGGACGGCUAACUACGUGCCAGCAGCCGCGGUAAUACGUAGGUCCCGAGCGUUAUCCGGAUUUAUUGGGCGUAAAGCGAGCGCAGGCGGUUAGAUAAGUCUGAAGUUAAAGGCUGUGGCUUAACCAUAGUACGCUUUGGAAACUGUUUAACUUGAGUGCAGAAGGGGAGAGUGGAAUUCCAUGUGUAGCGGUGAAAUGCGUAGAUAUAUGGAGGAACACCGGUGGCGAAAGCGGCUCUCUGGUCUGUAACUGACGCUGAGGCUCGAAAGCGUGGGGAGCAAACAGGAUUAGAUACCCUGGUAGUCCACGCCGUAAACGAUGAGUGCUAGGUGUUAGGCCCUUUCCGGGGCUUAGUGCCGCAGCUAACGCAUUAAGCACUCCGCCUGGGGAGUACGACCGCAAGGUUG